RNAcentral lists this ribosomal RNA (444 nucleotides) under uncultured bacterium. RNAcentral describes it as "bacterial SSU rRNA". It matches the Rfam family "Bacterial small subunit ribosomal RNA", at positions 355 to 796 of the family's 1533-position model. The record is from RNAcentral.
UAAGGAAUAUUGGUCAAUGGACGAAAGUCUGAACCAGCCAUGCCGCGUGAGGGAUGAAGGUCCUCUGGAUUGUAAACCUCUUUUAUCAGGGAAGAAAUGUCUCGUUUCUACGGGAUUUGACGGUACCUGAGGAAUAAGCACCGGCUAACUCCGUGCCAGCAGCCGCGGUAAUACGGAGGGUGCAAGCGUUAUCCGGAUUUACUGGGUUUAAAGGGUGCGUAGGCGGGUCUUUAAGUCAGUGGUGAAAUCCUCCUGCUCAACGGGAGAACUGCCAUUGAUACUAUUGAUCUUGAAUUCAGUUGAGGUGGGCAGAAUGUGUCGUGUAGCGGUGAAAUGCUUAGAUAUGACACAGAAUACCGAUUGCGAAGGCAGCUCGCUAAACUGACAUUGACGCUGAGGCACGAAAGCGUGGGGAUCAAACAGGAUUAGAUACCCGUGUAGUCC